Molecule: ribosomal RNA, 794 nt
Filed under: Micrococcus sp. E10-2
Lineage: Bacteria; Bacillati; Actinomycetota; Actinomycetes; Micrococcales; Micrococcaceae
Description: 16S ribosomal RNA
Source: RNAcentral
GGGGCACUUAAUGCGUUAUGGCGGCGCGGAAACCGUGGAAUGGUCCCCACACCUAGUGCCCAACGUUUACGGCAUGGACUACCAGGGUAUCUAAUCCUGUUCGCUCCCCAUGCUUUCGCUCCUCAGCGUCAGUUACAGCCCAGAGACCUGCCUUCGCCAUCGGUGUUCCUCCUGAUAUCUGCGCAUUCCACCGCUACACCAGGAAUUCCAGUCUCCCCUACUGCACUCUAGUCUGCCCGUACCCACCGCAGAUCCGGGGUUAAGCCCCGGACUUUCACGACAGACGCGACAAACCGCCUACGAGCUCUUUACGCCCAAUAAUUCCGGAUAACGCUCGCACCCUACGUAUUACCGCGGCUGCUGGCACGUAGUUAGCCGGUGCUUCUUCUGCAGGUACCGUCACUUUCGCUUCUUCCCUACUGAAAGAGGUUUACAACCCGAAGCCGUCAUCCCUCACGCGGCGUCGCUGCAUCAGGCUUGCGCCCAUUGUGCAAUAUUCCCCACUGCUGCCUCCCGUAGAGUCUGGGCCGUGUCUCAGUCCCAGUGUGGCCGGUCACCCUCUCAGGCCGGCUACCCGUCGUCGCCUUGGUGAGCCAUUACCUCACCAACAAGCUGAUAGGCCGCGAGUCCAUCCAAAACCGAUAAAUCUUUCCAACACCCACCAUGCGGURGGCGCUCCUAUCCGGUAUUAGACCYAGUUUCCCAGGCUUAUCCCAGAGUUAAGGGCAGGUUACUCACGUGUUACUCACCCGUUCGCACUAAUCCACCCAGCAASUGGGCUUCAUCGUUCRCUU